Molecule: transfer RNA, 66 nt
Filed under: Blepharostoma minus
Lineage: Eukaryota; Viridiplantae; Streptophyta; Jungermanniopsida; Jungermanniales; Blepharostomataceae
Description: partial tRNA-Leu
Rfam family: tRNA
About the family: Transfer RNA (tRNA) molecules are approximately 80 nucleotides in length. Their secondary structure includes four short double-helical elements and three loops (D, anti-codon, and T loops).
Source: RNAcentral
UAGACGCUACGGAUUUAAAAUCCGUUGGCUUUUUAGACCGUGAGGGUUCAAGUCCCUCUACCCCCA